UGUAUAUCGUGCUGCACGACAAUAUGUGUUAAUGAUCUUACGUACACAAAACAAAUCUAAACAUACCUUGCAGUCAUACAAUUCAAAAUGACAGUUUUAAAUUGACAUUAAACCAAUGGAAAGACGAUCAAGUCAGCCUAAUUCAAAUGUACAGUAACACGAGACAAUAUUUACAACCAGCGUUCUGAAACUAGAGUUGUGCUUCAGAAUGUAAGAGCUGUGGGUAUUGUAAUACACGGUUUGAACCCUGCCAUUUACAGUAACCUACCAGACAUGUCACAUUUACAGUAACCUACCAGACAUGUCACAUUUACAGUAACCUACCAGACAUGUCACAUUUACAGUAACCUACCAGACAUGUCACAUUUACAGUAACCUACCAGACAUGUCACAUUUACAGUAACCUACCAGACAUGUCACAUUUACAGUAACCUACCAGACAUGUCACAUUUACAGUAACCUACCAGACAUGUCACAUUUACAGUAACCUACCAGACAUGUCACAUUGUCACAUUUACAGUAACCUACCAUACAUGUCACAUGAAUGGUGGGACAUCAGGUUCUGUUGUAUUUCAGAGAGAGAACUAAAAACGGAAAACACAUGUGGUUAGUCUGUACUGUAUAUCUUUCAACACCUUUAACAGUAAGACACAUUAAAUCAAUGGUGUGGAAUUUCAGGAGAUAAAAAAUAUGUUAUAAAUAUGGAUAAAGUAGAAACUUCAACGUACUCUAUACUUAAUCAUUUCAAUUCAUUUCUAAAAUGUCUUAUUUUCAAAUAUCAGGUUUAGAGCAUUGGAUUGGUAACCCGAUAUUCACACCAUGCACGCACAUUAAGUCCCGUACAAUGCAACUCCAGUAGCAUAACGCCGUAGCUCUAAUCCAACUCAAAUCCAGUAGCAUAACGCCGUAGCUCUAAUCCAACUCAACUCCAGUAGCAUAAAGCCGUAGCUCUAAUCCAACUCAGCUUUCAAAUAGGGUAAACUGAGAGGAUACCUACAGGGUACACUGACCGAUACCUACAGGGUACACUGAGAGGAUACCUACAGGGUACACUGACCGAUACCUACAGGGUACACUGAGAGGAUACCUACAGGGUAAACUGACCGAUACCUACAGGGUAAAC
Oncorhynchus tshawytscha (Chinook salmon) is the source of this 1123-nucleotide long non-coding RNA. Lineage: Eukaryota; Metazoa; Chordata; Actinopteri; Salmoniformes; Salmonidae. The record is from Ensembl.